Molecule: long non-coding RNA, 386 nt
Organism: Penaeus monodon (black tiger shrimp)
Lineage: Eukaryota; Metazoa; Arthropoda; Malacostraca; Decapoda; Penaeidae
Exons: 2
Source: RefSeq, a predicted model, not a curated record
CAUUCCCCUUGCUUCGAACGUGAAGAAAGCCAUGGUCGGUGGUCGCCGUUAUAUGGUCAGCCACUUGGCUCCGAACUCCACACCGAUAACAUUCCUCCUAAAUUUAGGUAGAAGGUGGACGAAUCUCGGGCCACAUUACCUGGCUGCAAGCCGUGCAUGUGUACUCUGGCUGCAUAGCAUACCGUGGCACUAUACCGUGGCUGCAUACUUUUGAGUACAUACUGUAAUAUCUGGCUGUAAUAUCCCGGUCCACAGAAUCCUGGGCCGUAUGACCCCGGACCACUUGACCCAGGGUGGGACAGUGCUUACAAGACUUUCACUAAUAUUGAUGUGUAAAUACUUGUAUUGUGUGAAUAUACAUGAAACUAUAUACAUUGAAAAAAAAU